This is a long non-coding RNA of Neofelis nebulosa (Clouded leopard), 403 nucleotides long. RefSeq lists it as uncharacterized. The record is from RefSeq and is a predicted model, not a curated record. The transcript is spliced from 2 exons. NCBI's taxonomy places the organism in Eukaryota, Metazoa, Chordata, Mammalia, Carnivora, Felidae.
UAUAACAGAAUACUAUAGGUCGGGUGGUUUAUAAAACAAACAAACAAAAAAACCCAGGAAUUAAUUUCUCACAGUUCUGGAGGCUGGACGUCCAAGAUCAAGCUUCUUAUGGAAACUGAGACCAAUGAUUUAACAUAAUUCUUCCUAAGGGAUGAAUUCUUAGAAACAGCCUCCCAAGACUAAUUCAUGAAGAGAUUAAAAAUACGGACAGAUAGAUUAAUAAUGAGGAAAAUGAAUCAGUAAUCAAAAAUCUCCCAGCAAAAAAAGUUCAGAACCAGAUGGCUUCACUGGUAAAUUCUAGCAGACACUUAAAGAAUUAACACCAAUACUUCUUGGAUUCUUCCAAAAGACAGAAGAGGAAGAAGCACUUCCAAACUCAUUAUAUGAGGCCAGCAUUGCCCCC